CUCCUCACUUUGGCAGCACAUGUAGUAAAACGGAAAUGAUACAGAGAGGAUUAGCAUAGCCCUUGCACAAGAAUGAUGGGCAAAUUUGUGAAAUGUUUCAUGUUUUU
Molecule: small nuclear RNA, 107 nt
Organism: Otolemur garnettii (small-eared galago)
Lineage: Eukaryota; Metazoa; Chordata; Mammalia; Primates; Galagidae
Source: Ensembl